This 254-nucleotide ribosomal RNA is filed under the name uncultured bacterium. RNAcentral's name for it is "partial 16S ribosomal RNA". It matches the Rfam family "Bacterial small subunit ribosomal RNA", at positions 524 to 776 of the family's 1533-position model. The record is from RNAcentral.
UACGGGGGGGGCAAGCGUUGUUCGGAAUUACUGGGCGUAAAGGGCUCGUAGGCGGCCAACUAAGUCAGACGUGAAAUCCCUCGGCUUAACCGGGGAACUGCGUCUGAUACUGGAUGGCUUGAGUUUGGGAGAGGGAUGCGGAAUUCCAGGUGUAGCGGUGAAAUGCGUAGAUAUCUGGAGGAACACCGGUGGCGAAGGCGGCAUCCUGGACUAACACUGACGCUGAGUGAGCGAAAGCCAGGGGAGCAAACGGG